Molecule: ribosomal RNA, 436 nt
Filed under: uncultured anaerobic ammonium-oxidizing bacterium
Lineage: Bacteria
Description: bacterial SSU rRNA
Rfam family: Bacterial small subunit ribosomal RNA
Source: RNAcentral
GUGAACGAGCGACGCCGCGUGGGUGAAGAAGGCCUUCGGGUUGUAAAACCCUGUUAGCUACUAUGAAUCGCGGGUGGUGAAUAGCCAUCCCGUUUGACAAAGGUAGCAAAGAAAGCACCGGCUAACUACGUGCCAGCAGCCGCGGUAAUACGUAGGGUGCGAACGUUGUUCGGAAUCACUGGGCAUAAAGAGCGCGUAGGCGGUCCAAUCAGUCAGGCGUGAAAUCCCCCGGCUUAACCGAGGAACUGCGCUUGAUACUGUUGGGCUUAGAGUGCAGGAGGGGAGAGCGGAAUUCCUGGUGGAGCGGUGAAAUGCGUAGAUAUCAGGAGGAACGCCGGUGGCGAAAGCGGCUCUCUGGUCUGCUACUGACGCUGAGGCGCGAAAGCUAGGGGAGCAAACGGGAUUAGAUACCCCGGUAGUCCUAGCCCUAAACGAU